Molecule: ribosomal RNA, 584 nt
Filed under: bacterium 38-L049659-122-016-F05
Lineage: Bacteria
Description: bacterial SSU rRNA
Rfam family: Bacterial small subunit ribosomal RNA
Source: RNAcentral
UCGAGCGAACAGACGAGGAGCUUGCUCCUCUGACGUUAGCGGCGGACGGGUGAGUAACACGUGGAUAACCUACCUAUAAGACUGGGAUAACUUCGGGAAACCGGAGCUAAUACCGGAUAACAUGUUGAACCGCAUGGUUCAACAGUGAAAGACGGUCUUGCUGUCACUUAUACAUGGAUCCGCGCCGCAUUAGCUAGUUGGUAAGGUAACGGCUUACCAAGGCAACGAUGCGUAGCCGACCUGACAGGGUGAUCGGCCACACUGGAACUGAGACACGGUCCAGACUCCUACGGGAGGCAGCAGUAGGGAAUCUUCCGCAAUGGGCGAAAGCCUGACGGAGCAACGCCGCGUGAGUGAAGAAGGUCUUCGGAUCGUAAAACUCUGUUAUUAGGGAAGAACAAAUGUGUAAGUAACUAUGCACGUCUUGACGGUACCUAAUCAGAAAGCCACGGCUAACUACGUGCCAGCAGCCGCGGUAAUACGUAGGUGGCAAGCGUUAUCCGGAAUUAUUGGGCGUAAAGCGCGCGUAGGCGGUUUUUUAAGUCUGAUGUGAAAGCCCACGGCUCAACCGUGGAGGGUCAUUG